GAUGAACGCUGGCGGCGUGCCUAAUACAUGCAAGUCGAGCGAACGGACGAGAAGCUUGCUUCUCUGAUGUUAGCGGCGGACGGGUGAGUAACACGUGGAUAACCUACCUAUAAGACUGGGAUAACUUCGGGAAACCGAGCUAAUACCGGAUAAUAUUUUGAACCGCAUGGUUCCAAAGUGAAAGACGGUCUUGCUGUCACUUAUAGAUGGAUCCGCGCUGCAUUAGCUAGUUGGUAAGGUAACGGCUUACCAAGGCAACGAUGCAUAGCCGACCUGAGAGGGUGAUCGGCCACACUGGAACUGAGACACGGUCCAGACUCCUACGGGAGGAAGCAGUAGGGAAUCUUCCGCAAUGGGCGAGAGCCUGACGGAGCAACGCCGCGUGAGUGAUGAAGGUCUUCGGAUCGUAAAACUCUGUUAGUAGGGAAGAACAUAUGUGUAAGUAACUGUGCACAUCUUGACGGUACCUAAUCAGAAAGCCACGGCUAACUACGUG
This 496-nucleotide ribosomal RNA is filed under the name uncultured bacterium. Its description in RNAcentral is "partial 16S ribosomal RNA". It matches the Rfam family "Bacterial small subunit ribosomal RNA", at positions 28 to 507 of the family's 1533-position model. The record is from RNAcentral.